CUUAUAAUAGUAAGGUGGUGGAGGAGACGGUGAUGGUGGGGGUGGGGACUUGUAGUAGUAUGGUGGUGGCGGAGAUGGUGAUGGUGGUGGUGGAGACUUGUAGUAGUAUGGUGGAGGAGGAGAUGGUGAUGGUGGUGGUGGUGAUUUAUAAUAGUAUACAGGUGCAGGUUUUGGUGACGGUGGUGGAGGAGACUUGUAGUAGUAAGGAGGUGGGGGAGAAGGUGAUGGUGGUGGUGGUGACUUAUAAUAGUAUACUGGUGCAGGUUUUGGUGAUGGCGGUGGUGGUGAUUUAUAAUAGUAUACUGGUGCAGGUUUUGGUGAUGGUGGUGGAGGAGACUUGUAGUAGUAAGGAGGUGGGGGAGAAGGUGAUGGUGGUGGUGGUGACUUAUAAUAGUAUACCGGUGCAGGUUUUGGUGAUGGCGGUGGUGGUGAUUUAUAAUAGUAUACUGGUGUAGGUUUUGGUGAUGGUGGAGGAGGAGAUUUGUAAUAGUAAUGUGGUGGAGACUUAGUUGGUGGUGGUGGAGAUUUGUAAUAGUAAGCAGGUGGUGGUGGAGAUUUAUAAACAUAUGUCGGUGUUGGGGGAGGUGGAGACUUAUACACAUACUUUGGUGAUGGAGGAGGUGGUGACUUAUAGACAUAAGUCGGUGAUGGAGGUGGAGGAGAUUUAUAGUAGUAUGGAGCAGGUGUAGGCUUGGGCUUUUUGCAUUCGGCAUAAGGUGUCUUAGAGCCAUAAGCAAAUGGUUUUGCAUAGAGAACAACUUCAUAUUUAUUCUUUGACUUCACUUUGAGGUUAGCACCCUUUAUUCCCCAAUGAAGAUUUGUAGGAAUGCUACACUUUGAAUCCUUAGGAGCAUUGUGGAGUUUAGCCUUGCAAGCCUUUGCUCCAUAUUUGCGAUAUUCAAAUCCUUCAACUGUGAUGCUAAAUUUACCAUUGUUCUUAGUGGUACCAUAACUCACAAUUUUCUUGUCACCAGCUUUGCAAGUUACCUCAACAACAGCAUCUAAUUCAUAGAAAGAAGAAAUAAUAAUCAAUUAAUACUAAAAAUAAAUUGAAUUUACAAAUACACUUCUAAUGAAGAACAGUAAACUGUAAAGGAAUUCUUUUUUUGAAGCAUAUAUUUGUACCUUUGAGGUGUUUCUUAGCAUGAGACUUUUCAGGGUAAUCCUUAUCAUAGCAUCUAAAACAGUAAACUUUUCCAACAACCUUGACCACAAAGUGAUGAUGUGGAGGAUAAUAGUGAGUAGGCGGUGGUGGGGAAGUGUAGUAGUAUGGUGGAGGAGAUGAUUUCUUUGGUGGUGGUGGUGAAGUGUAGUAGUAUGGUGAAGGAGACGACUUAGCUGGUGGUGGUGGAGAAGUGUAGUGAUAUGGUGGAGGAGGUGAUUUCUUAGGUGGUGGAGGAGAGAUGUAGUAGUAUGGUGGAGGAGGUGACUUAGCCGGUGGUGGUGGAGAAGUGUAGUGAUACGGUGGAGGAGGCGAUUUCUUAGGUGGUGGAGGAGAGAUGUAGUAGUAUGGUGGAGGAGGCGAUUUCUUAGGUGGUGGAGGAGAGAUAUAAUAGUAUGGUGGAGGAGGUGACUUAGCCGGUGGUGGUGGAGAAGUGUAGUGAUAUGGUGGAGGAGGUGAUUUCUUUGGUGGUGGAGGAGAGUUGUAGUAGUAUGGUGGAGGAGGAGACUUCUUCGGGGGUGGUGGAGAACUAUAGUAAUAUGGUGGUGGAGGUGACUUCUUGGGUGGGGGUGGGGAGUUGUAGUAGUAAGGUGGGGGUGGCGAAGACUUAGGAGGUGGUGGAGAUUUAUAGUAGUAGGGUGGUGGAGGUGACGGUAAUGGUGGUGGAGGAGAUUUGUAAUAGUAAGGUGGUGGUGGAGAAGGCGAAGGUGGUGGUGGAGAUUUAUAGUAGUAUGGUGGCGGUGGUGAAGGUGAGGGUGGUGGUGGAGAUUUGUAAUAAUAUGGUGGCGGAGGUGACGGUGAAGGUGGCGGAGGAGAUUUAUAGUAAUAUGGUGGAGGUGGUGAUGGUGAUGGGGGAGGUGGAGACUUGUAUACAUAUGGUGGUGGUGGAGAAGGCGAUGGAGGUGGUGGAGACUUAUAUACAUAUGGUGGUGGUGGAGACGGAGAAGGAGGAGGAGGUGAUUUAUAGACAUAUGGAGGCGGGGGAGAAGGUGAAGGAGGAGGUGGAGAUUUGUACACGUAAGGUGGAGGCGGAGAAGGAGAAGGAGGUGGUGGUGACUUGUACUCAUACGCGGGAGGAGGUGGAGAAGAAUAUACAUAAGGGUCAGCCGACACUACAUUAGCAACAACCAACACAGCCAACGCCACUAAGAUCAGCCGCCAAUGACGACCCCUCAUAGGGCCGCCACCAUUAAACUUCAUUUUUCGCCGGAAAACACCACCACCAACCCCUCAAAUAUGGCUACAAAAAUCUCCAAAAGUUAAAGAGAGAAAGACUUAGAGUGUUAUAGUUGAGAAGUGAUGAAUUUAGUUGAUUGAAUGUACAAAGUAUUUAUAGUAACAUUUUAUGAAUAACUACUAGCUGGUAUAGAGUUGUCAACAAGUGACCAAUUCAAUUAAUCUAAUUGUUAAUCAAUGAUUAAAAAAAAAUAUAUUAAGAACUUAAAACAGCUAGAUAAAUUUUUUAAUAUUUUAUUUUUAAAGUCCAUUACUAGAUCACUUUGAAUUUUCCAUGCAACUUCUUUAACAAUAUAAACAUAUCAUAAAAUGGUUUAAGACAAGUGAGUGCUAAUUUAAAAUUAUUUCCACUUCUCUUGCAUUUUUUUGAACUUUUUGUUUUGUCUCAUAUAGAGUGAGAUCUCACAAUUAUUUGUGUUUUUCUAUUUACAAAAAAUAAUUAUUUAUGUAGCAUGUUCUUUUGCAUAACAUUAUGGAAUAUCAUUAGGUGGAUGAGAUAUUUCUUUAAAUUAACGAGCUUUUGAGUUUGAAUUUUAGAAAUAGAGAAAAUACUGGUUGGGAAAUAGGCCCUAUACAUCGGAAAUUUGAAUUAGUUGAGUCGAUAAAUUUCUAAUACAAUGAUUAUAAUGGAAAAUACCACAUGAAAAUCGCCCCCCUAAAAUUAAAUUAAGAAUUACCUAAUCAUAUUUGUUUUGUUUAUUACAAUUUUCUGAAUUGUAAGUGUAUAUACAUAAAAUUAAUAAUACAAGAAAACAUUUCUGUCAUUUUUGUUUAAUUACAGGGAAUAUUGGAUAUUAAUCCUGACAUUAUACUAAUUUAAUAUUACAAGCCGACAUAAGUUCAAUUAUUUCCUUAGUUGACUUUAUUUUUUAUUAUUAAUUAUUUCUUAAUGAGGAUUAGUGUAUGUUUGUCAAUUACUAAUGAAUUUUGAUUUUGAUCUUUAUAAUAUUAGACGAAAUAUAUUUAACUUUCAAUGAAUUUAAAAGUGGAUAAAUUAUUUUCAGAAUUAUAUUAUCUUGAAAAAAUGGAGUAACAAUAUAAUUUCAUAAAAUAACAUAUAUAUUAUUUUUUUCUUAUAUUUUCAUUGUAAUAAUAUUUGAAAAUGCAUGUGAAUUUUUCAAUGAUGAAAUUAACUACAUGUGGAUGCAAUACUUAAUAAUUUUUUUUGCAGCUUUUUAAUGGUCCAAUAUGUUGAGCAAAAAAGGAUCAUCAAAAGCAUAGAACAAACUAGACAUGGAUUUUUAUUCUUUUAGGGCGCAUUAUGAUGGAAAAUUGUAUAUGUUUUAUUUUGAAUUUUUUGAUGUUUGGUUGUAAGAAGAUAUUUUGGCAUUAUACAUAAAUAAAUAUGAUGUAUACUUUGGCUUCGAGUGAUAUCUAUGUCCUUUAAAUUCAGAUGUAUAUAAGUAGUCAUUCAAACUUGUUCAAAAUUGAACAAACAGAUACAUAUAUACCUCUUACAUGACGUCUUAUGUGGACAAUUUGCAUCAUACAUGUGGUAUCCUACGUGUAAUAUGUCACAUAAGACGUGUGCAUCUAAUUAUUCAAUUUUAUACAAGUUUUUAAGUGUCUACUUGUGCACACUCAAAGUUUGAGUACGUAAAUACCAAUUAAAGUCAAGUUAAAAAAACACAUUUAUAUGUUAUGCCGAAUAUUUUUUUCUGUAAUAUUCCUUUUUUCACUUUACGUGAAAGUCAUUUUCCUUUAUAAUUAUAACGAUUCCGAAUUUUGGAUCGAAAUUUUAUUCAGUACUUAGUUAUUAUUGAUGAAUUUUGCGUGUGGAGAAAUAAUCAUGGUUAUGAUCUUCUUAUUGAUUCGUGCACAAACUAAAGAAAUACAAUUUAAUUAGUAGGAAUGAAUAAAAAUGAGGAUAUCCUCAAUACAACAAUAAAUUACAAAUAAUCAAACACUAUGAAGCAUUGUUCCAUUGACGUUUAUUUUGUGCUUCAAACUAAAACCUGAAAAGAAACAACCAAAACGAAAAUUAGAGCCAUAAUUUAAAGAAAAUAUACAAAAUUAAUCUAUAAAAAAAAUCACAAUUCAAAUGUCAACUCACUUGAUUGAUUGUGGAGAAUGAUUGAACUCUUGAAGUUUCUUAGUAGUGGAUGGGAGGUGGUGGUGAAGCGUAAAUAUAUACCGGUGGAGGAGGUGAUUUCAGGGGUGGAGGUGGAGAGUGGUAGUAGUACGGAGGUGGUGGAGAAGGUGACGGUGGAGGAGGGGACUUGUAGUAGUAGGGUGGAGGGGGAGAUGGUGAUGGUGGUGGAGGAGACUUGUAGUAGUAGGGUGGUGGAGGAGAUGGUGAUGGAGGGGGAGGUGAUUUGUAGUAGUAUGGUGGAGGGGGAGAUGGUGAUGGUGGUGGAGGAGACUUGUAGUAGUAGGGUGGUGGAGGAGAUGGUGAUGGAGGGGGUGGUGAUUUGUAGUAGUAUGGUGGAGGGGGAGAUGGUGAUGGUGGUGGAGGAGACUUGUAGUAGUAGGGUGGUGGAGGAGAUGGUGAUGGAGGUGGUGGUGAUUUGUAGUAGUAUGGUGGAGGGGGAGAAGGUGAAGGUGGUGGAGGAGACUUGUAGUAAUAGGGUGGUGGAGGUGAUGGUGAUGGUGGUGGUGGAGACUUGUAAUAAUAAGGUGGUGGAGGAGAUGGUGACGGUGGUGGUGGUGACUUGUAGUAGUAGGGUGGUGGGGGAGAUGGUGACGGUGGUGGUGGUGACUUAUAGUAGUAUGGUGGAGGAGGAGAAGGUGAUGGGGGAGGAGGGGACUUGUAGUAGUAUGGUGGAGGAGGAGAUGGCGAUGGUGGUGGUGGGGCCUUAUAGUAGUAUGGCGGAGGAGGUGAAGGAGAUGGUGGUGGUGGGGACUUGUAGUAGUAAGGUGGGGGUGGUGAUGGUGAUGGGGGUGGGGGUGAUUUAUAAUAGUAUACCGGUGCGGGUUUUGGUGAUGGUGGAGGUGGAGACUUGUAGUAAUAAGGAGGUGGUGGAGACUUAGUUGGUGGUGGUGGAGAUUUGUAAUAGUAAGGAGGUGGAGGCGAUGGUGAUGGAGGUGGUGGUGAUUUAUAAUAGUAUAUAGGUGAAGGUUUUGGUGAUGGUGGUGGUGGAGACUUGUAAACGUAUGCCGGAGUCGGAGGAGGUGGUGACUUAUAAACAUAAGUUGGUGAUGGCGGUGGAGGUGACUUAUAAUAAUACGGAGCAGGUGUAGGCUUGGGCUUUUUGCAUUUCGCGUAGGGUGUCUUAGAGCCAUAAGCAAAUGGUUUUGCAUAGAGAACAACUUCAUAUUUAUUCUUUGACUUCACUUUGAGGUUAGCACCCUUACUUCCCCAAUGAAGAUUUGUAGGAAUGCUACACUUUGAAUCCUUAGGAGCAUUGUGGAGUUUUGCCUUGCAAGCCUUUGCUCCAUAUUUGCGAUAUUCAAAUCCCUCAACAGUGAUACUAAAUUUACCAUUGAUCUUAGUAGUACCAUAACUUAUAAUUUCCUUGUCACCAGCCUUGCAAGUCACUUCAACAAUAGCACCUAAUACAUGUAUAAAAAAUAAAUAAUACAUUAGUUAGAAUGAAAAUAAUUGAGUUGUUAAUAGAUUAUCGAUUAUUUUAGAUCUUUUAGAGCUUUAAGUACCUUUUAGGUGUUUCUUGCCAUGAGACAUUUUUGGAUGCUUCCAAUCAUAACAUCUAAAACAAUAGACUUUUCCAACAACUUUUACCACGAAUUGAUGAUGCGGAGGAUAGUAAUGAGUUGGUGGUGGCGGUGAAGUAUAGUAGUAUGGUGGAGGAGAAGACUUCUUUGGUGGUGGUGGUGGAGACUUAUAGUAAUAUGGAGUCGGAGGUGACUUAACAGGUGGUGGUGGAGAACUAUAAUAAUAUGGUGGAGGAGGUGAUUUCUUUGGUGGCGGCGGCGAGGAGUAGUAGUACGGAGGAGGUGGUGACUUAACCGGUGGUGGUGGAGAAGUGUAGUGAUACGGUGGAGGAGGUGAUUUCUUUGGUGGUGGUGGUGAAGAGUAGUAGUAUGGUGGAGGGGGAGACUUCACUGGUGGUGGAGGAGAACUGUAAUAGUACGGGGGAGGAGGUGAUUUAGCCGGUGGUGGUGGGGACUUGUAAUAGUAUGGUGGGGGUGGUGAUGGGGAGGGUGGUGGAGGAGACUUGUAGUAGUAUGGUGGUGGUGGUGAUGGAGAUGGAGGAGGUGGCGACUUGUAGUAAUAAGGUGGUGGAGGAGAAGGUGAAGGUGGUGGUGGAGAUUUGUAAUAGUAUGGUGGAGGAGGUGAAGGAGAAGGUGGCGGGGGUGACUUAUAAUAAUAUGGUGGAGGUGGUGAUGGUGAAGGUGGAGGUGGAGAUUUGUAGUAAUAUGGAGGUGGUGGUGAAGGUGAUGGGGGAGGAGGAGAUUUGUAGUAAUACGGUGGAGGUGGAGACGGCGAGGGAGGUGGUGGAGACUUAUACACAUAUGGUGGAGGUGGAGAUGGAGAAGGAGGAGGAGGUGACUUAUAAACAUAUGGAGGCGGGGGAGAAGAUGAUGGAGGAGGUGGAGAUUUGUAUACAUACGGUGGUGGUGGAGAAGGAGAAGGAGGCGGUGGUGAUUUGUACUCAUACACCGGAGGUGGUGGAGAAGAGUAUACAUACGGAUCUGCCGACACUACAUUAGCAACAACCAAUAUAACCAACACCGUUAAUAUUCUUGGCAAAUAUUGACGACCCUUCGUAGGGACGCCACCUUGAAGCCUCAUUUCGUCUGAAAAUUACACCACCUAUCCCCAAAUGUGGCUAGUUAGAUUAAGAAAAAAAAAAGAUAUAACCUAUAGUUUUUUUAGUUGAGAACUGAUGCCUUUUGGGGAUUCAUUAUCCUAUGUAUUUAUAGCAAACACUUCAUAGGAAGUAGCCUUUGGUUUAGAGCUGUCUAAAGGACUAAUUCAAUUGUUCUAAUUUAUAAUCAUUGACUUAAAUUAUACUAAAAUCCAUUUAUUGAUCACUUUGAAUAUUUCCACAAUAUCUAUAUAACAAGUUGUGGUAACAAUUACCUGCUACAAAGAGACACACAUGCCAUAAAAUGUUGUAUUGGAAAAUGAUUGCUAACUUUUAAUAUUUCCACUUUCUUUCCAUUAAAUAUAUAUUUUGCUUUUCCUUCACAUGUUGCCUCAAUGAUCACUGAGAUCUCAUAAUUAUGGUCCUUUUGGUUUAAUUAGCUGUGGUGGUUGACUUCGAAGAGGAAUCUAAGAUUUUAAUUUUACGAGAACAUGUUAUUUUUAGUACAACAAUCUCAAAUACUAGUAAGUUUAUAUAUGUUUUGAACAUAUUUAUUUUAACGAAUUUUUACAUAGUUUGAGCCAUAACUGUAAAUGCUAAUUCGUCAUAUAUCAACAGGACUAAAAUUUUAAACGUAUCAAUAAUCGAAGGACCAAAAGUGUUAAUCUAUGAUUCUAUUAUUUUAUUUAAUUGAAGAAGACCAGUUAAUACAGUGUCAUUAACACCUCUUUAAUUAGGUAAGAGAAUGAUUGUUUCAAAGUCCAAGGUUUAGGUAAUUACGUGGUUUAGUUUGAUAAAUAAUGAAGAAAAUAUAUGGAACCACCAUGUGAUUUUCAUAAUUUGAUACCAUUGUCAAAUCCAAAUUGAAUUAGUAAAAUUGAUUUUGACCUUUUAUGGACUAUUCGUUAUCCGUUAAACUUUUGAUUUAAUAUUACAUUUGUCGUAUCACUAAUUACCCUAGACCCUAAUCGAAGCUUCACACCUUGAAGUAUUUUUAAAUCAAUCUCUGAAAAAUUGAAGUGUUAAAAUUUAGGUCCGUUUAAAGCAUUUGGACCUAAUAUGGUCAAACUACACAUGUAUAGCCGAUUUCAAGACCUAAUAUUUUUUAAGCGCUUUAUAUCAAGUUUAUAUGAGUCGUCUGAAUUUCAAAUAUAUGUUUUAAGUUUGACUUGGUAAAACUUAGAAUAUGUAAGGGAGCAAAUUUAAAUUUUUUUUUUAUUGAUUGUCCCUUUGGACAAAUAUUUAUGCAUGAAGUUCAAAAAUAUAUGAACUUCAUGUAUAUGUACAAAGUUUUUUUAAUAAAUUGCGCGUUAAAUUAUAUUGUGUAUAUAAGGUGGCUCGUUUGUUGGAAAAAAGAAACAGUGAAUAUAAUAAAAUUAAUCUUUCUUAUUCAUGAUUUGUACACGAAGUACAAAACAACAUACAAUUAUAACUAAUAGGAAAUGAAUUGAUAAAGGAAUAAAAAACAUGAAAGCUCAUAUACAUUCAAGAACCAAUUAUAAUUGAUAACUUAUUGUAAUAAGAAAUAAUUAAGUUAUUUCUCCAUGAAGUGGCAGUGAGAACAAUGAGCAAGAAGGCCAGAGGAGAAGUUGAAGCAAACUGGUCCAUGUCAUGAAGUAUCAAUCUUCCAAUUGUAAAAUAGAAGAUGUCAUUCAAUAAAUUAAUUGAUUUGUACCAUUGAAGUUUGAUUCUUUCAAUUAAGAAACCAUCCUUUAUUUUGUGCUUCAAAUUGAAAUCUGGAUAGAAACAACCAAAUAGAAGAUUAGAGACAUAAUUCAUAAGAAAAGAGUCAUAUAUAUAUAUAUAUAUAUAUAAAUUCACAAUUCAAAUAGCUACUUACUUGAUUGAUUUGGGAGAAUGGUUGAGCUUUCGGAAAUACUUAGUAGUGAGUUGGAGGUGGUGGAGAAGCAUAAAUGUAUACUGGUGGAGGAGGUGAGUUGUAGUAAUAGGGUGGAGGAGGAGACUUUACAGGUGGAGGUGGAGAGUGGUAGUAGUAGGGUGGGGGAGGUGAUGGGGAUGGUGGUGGAGGAGACUUGUAGUAGUAGGGUGGUGGAGGAGAUGGGGAAGGUGGUGGUGGUGACUUGUAGUAGUAAGGUGGUGGAGGUGAUGGCGAUGGUGGUGGUGGAGACUUGUAAUAGUAUGGUGGUGGAGGAGAUGGCGAUGGUGGUGGUGGAGACUUGUAAUAGUAUGGUGGUGGAGGAGAUGGUGAUGGUGGUGGUGGAGACUUGUAGUAGUAGGGUGGUGGGGGAGAUGGCGAAGGUGGUGGUGGUGACUUGUAGUAGUAUGGUGGAGGUGGUGAUGGAGAUGGUGGAGGAGGGGACUUAUAGUAGUAGGGCGGUGGAGGUGAUGGUGAUGGUGGUGGUGGAGAUUUGUAAUAGUAUGGUGGAGGGGGAGAUGGUGAUGGAGGAGGAGGAGACUUGUAGUAGUAAGGUGGUGGAGGUGAUGGUGAUGGUGGUGGUGGAGACUUAUAGUAGUAGGGAGGUGGGGGAGAAGGUGAUGGUGGUGGUGGUGAUUUAUAAUAGUAUACUGGUGCAGGUUUUGGUGAUGGUGGUGGAGGAGACUUGUAGUAGUAAGGAGGUGGCGGAGAAGGUGAUGGUGGUGGCGGUGACUUAUAAUAGUACACUGGUGCAGGUUUUGGCGACGGUGGAGGUGGAGAUUUAUAAUAGUAUACUGGUGUAGGUUUUGGUGAUGGUGGAGGUGGAGAUUUGUAAUAGUAUAUCGGUGCAGGUUUAGGUGAUGGUGGAGGUGGAGAUUUAUAAUAGUACACGGGUGCAGGUUUUGGUGAUGGUGGUGGUGGUGACUUAUAAUAGUACACAGGUGCGGGUUUUGGUGAUGGUGGUGGUGGAGAUUUGUAAUAGUAAGCAGGUGGUGGUGG
Molecule: long non-coding RNA, 9982 nt
Filed under: Solanum melongena (eggplant)
Lineage: Eukaryota; Viridiplantae; Streptophyta; Magnoliopsida; Solanales; Solanaceae
Description: long non-coding RNA (SMEL_LNC000241)
Source: RNAcentral